RNAcentral lists this ribosomal RNA (484 nucleotides) under uncultured bacterium. Its description in RNAcentral is "partial 16S ribosomal RNA". It matches the Rfam family "Bacterial small subunit ribosomal RNA", at positions 30 to 507 of the family's 1533-position model. The record is from RNAcentral.
AUUGAACGCUGGCGGCAGGCCUAACACAUGCAAGUCGAGCGGAUGAAGGGAGCUUGCUCCUGGAUUCAGCGGCGGACGGGUGAGUAAUGCCUAGGAAUCUGACUGGUAGUGGGGGAUAACGUCCGGAAACGGGCGCUAAUACCGCAUACGUCCUGAGGGAGAAAGUGGGGGAUCUUCGGACCUCACGCUAUCAGAUGAGCCUAGGUCGGAUUAGCUAGUUGGUGGGGUAAAGGCCUACCAAGGCGACGAUCCGUAACUGGUCUGAGAGGAUGAUCAGUCACACUGGAACUGAGACACGGUCCAGACUCCUACGGGAGGCAGCAGUGGGGAAUAUUGGACAAUGGGCGAAAGCCUGAUCCAGCCAUGCCGCGUGUGUGAAGAAGGUCUUCGGAUUGUAAAGCACUUUAAGUUGGGAGGAAGGGCAGUAAGUUAAUACCUUGCUGUUUUGACGUUACCAACAGAGUAAGCACCGGCUAACUUCGUG